Molecule: ribosomal RNA, 449 nt
Filed under: uncultured bacterium
Lineage: Bacteria
Description: partial 16S ribosomal RNA
Rfam family: Bacterial small subunit ribosomal RNA
Source: RNAcentral
AACGAACGCUGGCGGCAGGCUUAACACAUGCAAGUCGAACGCAUCCUUCGGGGUGAGUGGCAGACGGGUGAGUAACGCGUGGGAACGUGCCCUUCAGUUCGGGAUAACCCAGGGAAACUUGGGCUAAUACCGGAUACGUGCGAGAGCAGAAAGAUUUAUCGCUGAAGGAUCGGCCCGCGUCUGAUUAGCUAGUUGGUGGGGUAAUGGCGCACCAAGGCGACGAGCAGUAGCUGGUCUGAGAGGAUGAUCAGCCACAUUGGGACUGAGACACGGCCCACACUCCUAGGGGAGGCAGCAGUGGGGAAUAUUGGACAAUGGGCGCAAGCCUGAUCCAGCCAUGCCGCGUGAGUGAUGAAGGCCUUAGGGUUGUAAAGCUCUUUCGUCCGGGACGAUAAUGACGGUACCGGAAGAAGAAGCCCCGGCUAACUUCGUGCCAGCCGCCGCCGUAA